This 3028-nucleotide long non-coding RNA is filed under the name Mytilus galloprovincialis (Mediterranean mussel). The record is from RNAcentral. Lineage: Eukaryota; Metazoa; Mollusca; Bivalvia; Mytilida; Mytilidae.
UAAAAUUACAGUAAAGUAAAACUAGAGCGACAUGAAUGCAACAUUAGUCUUAAUCCUUUGCGCUUUAUUGGUAGCUAAUCACUCAGUUGAAGGUAAGAAUUCUAGUUAUCACUUUUUAUUUCGAAAAUAAAGAAUUAUAAAAUUUUAUAUGCUAAAUUAGAAGUCAAUAUUAUCGUGUGAAUUUGAGAGUUCUGGAGAUGAAAUUUAAUCCACGAUUAUUGCAAAGGACUUUAAAACUCAUAAUAUGUUUUUGCACAAACAACUUCCUUACAAUCUCGUGUAUCAAAACGUACAUGUUGUAUCAUUGGCGUCGAUAAAUUUAUUUUUUUGCUUAGCAUAGUACUUACUUUCCCCCUUUUUUGGCUAGAAAUUAAGUUGUUUCUUUUUUAAUUUAUAAACAGCUAAAUUAGCAAACCAUUACAGAACAUUGAUUUAUUCUUUUGUAACCUUAGAUCGCUGCCCUAUUGACAUUCACCAUUUGAUUUAUCUUUUUUAAGUAUUUUUUUAAAUGAGAUUUGAACUUAACAAAUGCUUAAACUCAAUUUGAAUCUUUCAGAUUGUAUUCCUGUCAUGUAAUGUUGUCAUUUUAGCGAUAUAUUUAACAUUUCCAUAAAACGCAACACACAACACCAUGAACAAUUCACCAUUUGUUUCAUGAAAUAUCCUGUUUCAAGUCAAGAAUAUGGCAGUUGAUAUUAGAAUUCCGUUUUUAUGUAUGUUGGCGUGUUUAGUUUUUUUUUUUUUUUUUGUUGCUACUUCUGUGUUUCUGUCUUUUCCAGGGUUGAUGUGUUUCCCUCGGUUUUGGUUUGAAACCCUUAUUUGUUUUCUCUCAAUCAAUUUAGAACUUUUGAACAGCGAUAUACUACUGUUGUCAAUAUUAAAAAUGACGAAAAGUAAAAAAAAAUAUAUAUAUAUACAGAGUUACAGUAUCCAUUUUCUAAAAAGUUAAGUCAUUUUUUCUCGAAAUUUGUAGAAAGGAUAAUUUUGAAAGAAAAAAAAAUUCUUCUGCUUCCGUAGACUGUUAUUUUUAUCUAUAUGUUACAGGUGAAUGGAAAUUAUUUCAUCAUUCAAGAUCCUGCUCUCAUAAAAAACAUUCGAGAACAGGUAUGUACAAAACACAUUUAAUUGACAGUUACAGGAUCUGCUUACCCUUCCGGAACACCUCAGAUCAUCUUCAGUUGUUUUUUUUUGGUUCGUGUUGCUUAGUCUUUAGUUUUCGUUGUUGUGUCUUUUGUACUAUUUUUGUCUGUUUAUUUUUUAGCCAUAACGUUGUCAGUUUAUGUUCGGUUUAGAAGUUUAUGACUGUCCCUCUGGUAUCUAUCUCUCUUUUACAAACCUUUAUUUGACUUCGGUGACGUUCUUUAAUCUUUUAAGUUGGCGGAGAGACUAAAUGUUGGAUAAGAGAUUUGUUAAAGAUUUCUGAGUCAAUUAACUCUUAAAUUUAAAUUAAAAAAAUUAGGGAUUACAGGCAUAAAUUAAAAUAUAUUGAAAUAAUAGAAAUAUAGUUAUCUUACAUAGUUUAUUAAGGGACACUCAAUUGUAUCAUACAUCAUUAUACGAUGGAAUUAGUUUAUAUAGAGAAAUUGAUUGAUAAAUAAAUACUUUAGAUAAUAAUAGAAAAAGGAUUGUCACUGGUCAGCUUUAUAUUGUUGAAAAAUCAUAAAAGCACAAUUUUUUUUCGUAUGCAAUAAAGUUGCUUGCUCUUGAUCUUAAAAAGAAUGUUUCCAAAAAUAAAUUAGAUACAUUUUAUGACAUGUAAUAUUUAAAGUUUUAAUCGUUAGAUUUCGAGUUUUGGUGUGUUUUGAUUUUUGACAAGACAUUUUUAAACUAAAAAUAUAUAUUUGUGAAGCAAACCCUCUAUCUCUUUAAAUAUAGAACCGUUUGACAGAACAAACAAACACACCAACACACAUUAUGUUUGUAAUUUUUGUAUUUACAAAUAUAAAGUAGAAAUAUAAGCAAAUAGUGAAGAUUGAAAAAAGAUCUUUUACAUUAAAGUUAUUGUUGAAAUGGAUGAUAUUUCUGAUUUAAUUUUAAUACGAACAAUUGCGAACCAAGAUGGUGUUUAUAUGACAAUAUCCUUACCGCAUAUUACUGUAGAAACAAAUUAUUUUAGCGGAAACUUCAAUCCGAGUUUAUCUCUUUCAAUUCCACUUAGUGGCGAUUUGAUUUCGCGACUUUCAAAUUCACAUGAGGUAGUUAGAAAAGGAAUUAUUACAGUUUUUAAAUUUUCGCGACAAUUUCAAGUAAUUUUCUACUCGCAAAAAUCGCGAAAAUAAAUCGCAAACGAAAUAAGUUGCUUAACAAUAUAUGGAAUCAUUGAGAUCAAAGAUAUUUAGCUCAGGUAUGACAAAAUUUGUUGUAUAUCAUAUUGGUUUUGUUUCUUUUCAUUUUAGAUUCACCAAUACCAUCGUCUACCAUAAUGUCUACACCAAUAACAUCAAUACCUAUACCAUCAACACCACGAACAACAACAAUCCCUAGACCUGGAUAAAUAAAGACGACUUCAUGAUAAUAACCGUAAAAGUUAAAGAAAUGGUGUAUACCUUUACAAGCGUAUUCAGUUCUUAUAAGCACAUUGAAUCAUAUAUUAAACAAUGUUUUAUUAGCCGCCAUAUUCUGUAUGUGUUUGCCUGUCCCAAGUCAGGAGCCUUUAAUGUAAUCGUUGUCGAUUGUUUUGUGUUGAAUAUUUGUUUUUGUUUAUAUUUGUACAUAAAUUAGGUCUUUCGUUUUCUCGUUUAAAUUGUCAUUUCGGUGUAAUUUAUCGCUGACUAUGUGGUAUUGGCUUUACUCAUUGUUGAAGGUCGUACCUAGACCUAAAGUAUUUAGUUUUUGUGUCAUUUGGUCUCUUGUAGAUAUUUGUCUCUAAGAAAUUGUGUUUACUGGAAUCAUUUCAAAUAAAUUUUUCAUUCUCUAAUCGAACCAAAUUUGAAAGAUAAGUACCAUUUAAUUUCACACCUAUGUGUAUAUUAAAUAUUUGUAAAGGCCAUGUGUUAUAUAUGUUAAGAAGAAGAAUUCAGAAAUUACC